CCCUUAGAUGUUCGGGGCCGCACGCGCGCUACACUGAAGGGAUCAGCGUGUUUUCCCUUUCCGAGAGGAACGGGUAACCCGCUGAACCCCCUUCGUGGUAGGGAUCGGAGCUUGCAAUUGUUCUCCGUGAACCAGGAAUUCCCAGUAAGCGCAAGUCAUAAGCUUGCGUUGAUUACGUCCCUGCCCUUUGUACACACCGCCCGUCGCUACUACCGAUUGAACGUUUUAGUGAGGUAUUUGGACUGGGCCUUGGGAGGUUUCGGUCUCCCUUGUUGCUCGGAAAGACUCCCAAACUUGAGCGUUUAGAGGAAGUAAAAGUCGUAACA
This 326-nucleotide ribosomal RNA is filed under the name uncultured eukaryote. RNAcentral describes it as "partial 18S ribosomal RNA". It matches the Rfam family "Eukaryotic small subunit ribosomal RNA", at positions 1470 to 1796 of the family's 1831-position model. The record is from RNAcentral.